This 254-nucleotide ribosomal RNA is filed under the name uncultured bacterium. RNAcentral's name for it is "partial 16S ribosomal RNA". It matches the Rfam family "Bacterial small subunit ribosomal RNA", at positions 524 to 776 of the family's 1533-position model. The record is from RNAcentral.
UACGGGGGGAGCAAGCGUUGUUCGGAUUUACUGGGCGUAAAGGGCGCGUAGGCGGUCGUGACAAGUCACUUGUGAAAUCUCCGGGCUUAACUCGGAACGGUCAAGUGAUACUGUCGGACUAGAGUACAGAAGGGGCAACUGGAAUUCUCGGUGUAGUGGUGAAAUGCGUAGAGAUCCGGAGGAACCCACGAGGCGAAGGCGGCGUCCUGGCUCGCAUCUGACGCUCAGACACGACAGCAUGGGGAGCGAACGGG